RNAcentral lists this transfer RNA (72 nucleotides) under Camelus bactrianus (Bactrian camel). It matches the Rfam family "tRNA". Rfam says of the family: Transfer RNA (tRNA) molecules are approximately 80 nucleotides in length. Their secondary structure includes four short double-helical elements and three loops (D, anti-codon, and T loops). Further hydrogen bonds mediate the characteristic L-shaped molecular structure. tRNAs have two regions of fundamental functional importance: the anti-codon, which is responsible for specific mRNA codon recognition, and the 3' end, to which the tRNAs corresponding amino acid is attached (by aminoacyl-tRNA synthetases). tRNAs cope with the degeneracy of the genetic code in two manners: having more than one tRNA (with a specific anti-codon) for a particular amino acid; and 'wobble' base-pairing, i.e. permitting non-standard base-pairing at the 3rd anti-codon position. Lineage: Eukaryota; Metazoa; Chordata; Mammalia; Artiodactyla; Camelidae. RNAcentral also lists the same sequence under 1 other name. The record is from Rfam by way of RNAcentral.
GGGUGUACAGCUCAGUGGUAGAGUGUGCGCCUAGCAUGCACAAGGUCCUGGGUUCAAUCCCCAGUACCUCCA